UAUUUUCAAGAGCGCAUUCAAGAGUGUGUAUAACAUUUUUUUUAAUGGCUAACUGAGAACAUUAUCUUUGGUAGUGGGGUUUGCUCGCCAGAAAUUCACCAUUAAAGUGCUUUGUUAUUGCGCUUGUCCUUUAUUAUCACUCGUGCGGCAACUUUCAAGAAAUUCGAGUAUUAUUGCUCUCAGAGGGACACGGUUUUCGUUGUAAAGCGAAUUAUAUAUGUGAAAUGGUCGCCAUUCAGUGACGCUUUAGCCAAUAGAAAAGAAUCUACUCACUCAGUGUGGCCCUCCUCUAUCAUAGUAUAACUCGGAACCAUUUCGCUUCUCUGGCAUAUAAUGCUAAUGAAUGAACAAUAAAAACGUCUAAUAAAAUGAUGAUCUCCACUGAGGAAUAUCGCAACAGAAGCACCUGUAACAAUGACCUCUAAAAUGAAGAGCGUAAGGAAAGUCACGUCGCAGGGAGUGUAUCUCUCUCGUCUUGGAGGUUUGAAUUCUUGGCGGACUUUUGGCAGGAAGUGUACGAAGAGGGGAUGGCAUGGCAGUAGGGUGAGGUCAGUGUCGAGCAAGUCGAGUGUUCGCAAGUUGGACCGGGCCUCUCUUUCUCUCUCUUUCUCUCUCUUUGCAGUGCGUGCACGCAUGCUCGCGUGUGCUAUGCUUGUGUUAGCUUGAAAUUAUUGUCGUGGAUGUGAGGACUGGCAUCCACUUUUUAAGUGUGUUUCAAAGAGAGGUGCAUCGCCCUCCGACGCUGCGUCAAGGCCAGCGAAAAUACUCACUCGCUCAGUCACUCCACUAACCGCCGAAAGCCUUCAUAUACCUCCUCCUCCUCCUCAUCCACCAACUCUUUCCCUCUCUCUCGCACUCUCCAUUUGCAAUCAACGAACCUCUUCUCCUCAUCGGUUCACUGUACCUCUCGCGGGCCAUUCUUUUCUUAUUUUAUGCCUUCUCUAUACAUCAAGCCUCCAUAUUCCUAUAUGUACACCUUAAAAUGUCAUUAC
Long non-coding RNA from Leptopilina boulardi, 992 nucleotides. RefSeq lists it as uncharacterized. The transcript is spliced from 4 exons. The record is from RefSeq and is a predicted model, not a curated record. NCBI's taxonomy places the organism in Eukaryota, Metazoa, Arthropoda, Insecta, Hymenoptera, Figitidae.